AGGGGGAGUGAAUGGAGCAGUAGAUGGUUCAGUGUUGAAUGUAGAGAAUACAGGUGGUGACACUAACUGUGUCUCGUAUGCAUAAGGGCCUAUGGAAAACAUGGAUGCAGGUGUUGGAUUUAUCCAAUAUAAAUCAACCUUAAGUGGUCUACUACAUGUAAUAGGAAUGUAAUAUUGGAGAAUAAUGUUAAUUGUGAUUUAAUCUCUUAAAGAUAUUAAUUCUAUAUAAGGUGUCUUAUAUUGGAAAUAGGAUUGAUGGAAUCCUUAAUAAUAUAUGAUUAUGAUAUUUUUACUUGAGAGCCAAGAAAUGAGAGUUUUAGUUUUCCCUUAUGGACGGAAUCUAAGACUUUUUGGCUAGUAUAUAAACACCGGUCCCUGCUAACCCUAGACACGACAACUAAGGCUUCCCAUAGAGCUUUGUCAUAAAGCUAGGAGUUUACAGAAUAGUUGGUGUUUCUGUUUGUCACGGCAAACAUAAAGAUUGGAGUUUUAUCGAUCACGUCUUGCUUGCAUGGCUGCUGCAUCUUCGAUAACUACCAUUGGAAUCAGGUCAGUCACUCUUUCGUUUGUGUUUUAAUUGUAUAACCUUAUAAGGCUAACAAUUGGUAUCAGAGCCAUUGGUUAUAUGAUUAAAACCUAUUAGGGUUUAGGUUGGACUAUAUAAUAUUUUUAUGAGCUGCGUUUUUAAUCCAUGUUAUGAUUGCAUAUACUUGGCAACACCACCAUGUUGUUUCAAUCGGUACAAUUGAUGAUUGUUAAUAGGUUAUAUAACCAUUCGGUUUUAGUCAAGAAUUUUAAUAAUCUUAUGGCAUGAUGAAUCUGGGAAACUUUAUCAAGAAUAGCAGCAAAUCGUGGAUCAAUACCAUAAUAGUGGCAUGCCGCAUGCGGAGAAGUAUAUAUAUAAACCGUGUUGAAGUAUAAAAUUAAAAUAAUGGUGAUGAUCCAAAUAUGGAAUAAGCUUCAAAUCCCAACAGUUUUUUAAACUAUACCUAUUUUAAUUGCAAACAAUAUGGUUUAGUUGAUAGUUUUUGAUCAGGCAUCUUUAUUGCAUAAAAUAUGUUUGGGUCGAACCACCAAAGUCUGGAGAUUGCUAAUAUUUGAUCAAGCAAGAGCAUGUAAUUUUUAUUUGAUUAGUCAAAUUUGAUUACCACCAAUAGUUCUGAUAAGGGGAUGUUAAAGAAAAUUGAUUAGUUAGUUCAUUGGAUUAACUAUGACUGGAAACCAUGGCAUAUUUCAAAUUUUCUAUUUUAAAGUUGAUGUUUUUGGUUGGAAUGUUUAACCAUGUACUACGGAUGUCUUUGUCAAUUUUGUAAGCAUAUGCAAAUACACAUUUACACUGGAAAAGUGAUGCGGCCUCUCAAUUUAGCAAGCUGACCUCUGCCAAAGCAGAGCAUUGUGUUUCAUCGACUCAAUUCGGAUUUUGGGUUUUUGGUGUAAUCUUUUCCCUUGGUCUUAAUUGCUGACAAGAUUUUGUGGUGGAUUUAAAAGGUGAUUAUUUGGUUCCUGCAUAACUUACAUAUGCCGUGACAUCUCCUUAUUACUUGGAAUAUUAUGUUUUUGGUUCCUUGUUUUGGUGGCAUCAAAGAGUUUUCGUACUUGCAUAACCAACUAAUUAUUCAGAACCCAAUUUUGACUGCAACCUAAUUCUUAGAAUUAAGAAAGAGGCGUAACAGUUCAAAUAUUGCUUGACAUCUUUCGGAAUGUUGGUAACGGAAUUGUUCACUUUUAGAUGUCUCAAUACUAUUAUUGGUAUAUGAUUUGUGCCUAUAUAUAUGAUUGUGGUAACAUAUAUUACAGUUGUGUUGCAGGAAUGCAUAUGCUAAGUUUAUAUAUGUCUAUAUUUGAAAGCAGGUCAAUAUAAAUUUUGGCAAUUUUUGUUAUUGCAUCUAUAGCAUCACGGAUAUGUUUCAAAGAUGUGUAAGGUGACACAAUUUCUUCCAUGACCGUAGCAUAUGAUAAAUUGUAACUAAUUUGCUUGAACCAAAAUUUUAAUAUUGUUAAGCAAAUGGCAUGUAUAGUGUUGCUUGUAUGGCUAAUUUGGUUCAAGCAUGAGAUAACAUAUUUUUAAUAUUGCCAUGGGUUUUGGACUAUAGUGAAUUGUAGUGUUGUUUUCACUAAUUUUCACGAGAUGUGAAUGAACCUUUAUGCCAUUAAUAGCACAAGAAAUAUGCAUGACUAAUCAAUCAAGUUUGUCUACAAUUUGCUUUCUUAUUAUCUCAAAAGUCAUUUAAAUUAUACAUGACUAGUUACUUGUGAAAAAUUGAUGUAUAAUUUGUGAAUUGACUGAGAAUGACAGAAAGCAUCCAGUGACAAGAACAAGGGUAUUAUACAAAUGAAUAAGGUUUGUAGUAAUUAUGUGACAAUUCUCAUUUGUAUUUUUAUCUAUUCUUAUAUGAGAAUUUUGGUUGGUCAUGUGAUUUAUACAUAUGUUUACAAAGAAGUGAUGAACAUAUGAAGGCAUGAGGUAUGUAAUCCAUUCAAAGUAUGUGGCUUAAUUGAUAAGCAUGAAUUUUCAAACAUGUAUUAUUGUUUGUGGUUUUUCCUAUGCCUAAAGAAUUUAAGCAGUGCUUUGAUUAGUAAUUUUUUAUAUGUCAUAAGGGGAGAAGAAAAGAAACUUUUCAAGGCUAAUGUAGGGCAUAUACUGGAAAUGUUUUCUAUGGAAGAAAAUAAUUUUGGUAGUUCCUUUAUAUAAUUGGUAUUUACAAGGCUAAUGCACGAUUUUGAUGCUAAUGUUUUAGGAGCCUUGUACUACGGAAAGAAAGGUACAAAAGAAAAGGAACCCGUUUGACUUAAGAAAACAUUUGAGCAAUUUAGUUUUUAAAUUAAAGGAAUGUAUUGUUCUUUUGCAUUACAUAAAGUAUUUCUAUUUCAAGCAAUUGACUCCGUAAUGAUAAUAAGUAUUGACAUUCUUGUGGUGGAAUAAAACUUGUUCUAUAUGUGAUUAAUCUCUUUCAAGUAUGUUGUCAGGUUUCUUGAGAUUAAUUUAAUGUCAAAGGGAGUCAUGAAGGAAUUAGUGCCAUUUGUUGGCAGGACUCGACGCUUGAAUCAGGUUAUCAUAAUUUUGUCACUUACAGUUAAUUAAUCCAUGUGACUUUUGCAUUGUUUCAGGACGGAGUUGAUAAAUGUCUUUUCAACUAAAGGAAGCCGCAACGGCUCAGUUGAUGAUGAGACUGUAUUUUUGAGUUACUUCGAUCAACUUUGCAUCUUAAUUAGAAUAAAAGGGAUAAUCUUCUUACCUACAGGUGUGGAUUACUUCUUUUAGUUUAAUUAAGAUGGCAUAGUAUGGGUUUUAUUUCACAGAAGUUGUGAAAACCUUCAUCUUGCCUACAGGUGUUGAAGUUUUUCAUGAAGGAACUUUUGUGACAUAAAAUCUAGUACUAGAAACUUGUUAUUUUUCUUGCCUACAGGUGUAAAUUAAUUUAGUUUCAUGAAGUUUAUUGGGAUAAAGUUCCAUGCCAUUAGUGACAAAUAUUUCCACAAUGAGCCCCAUAAAAGGUUGUGGUUUGAAGGCCUGGAAAUCGGUUGCAUCAUGCAUAUUUUGUGUCUCUUCAUGAGACUUGUUGAUGCAAAGUAUUGGACCCAUGAAGGUUAAUCAAGGAUUGCUAAGGUACGCAUUGUUUAAGUCUUAUGCUUGAAAAUCUUUUCAAUUUGAACUAUGAUGUCGAUUUAGAGGAUGAAAUUUGAAUACUAAAGUUUCAUUUGGACAUCGAAAUUGAAAUGAUAUGAAAUUGAAUUUGUUAUGGAUGCAUAAAUUCAUGAUAGAAGCACAUAAUUGUUUCUGGCAGAUUACGUGUCUUGAUUUAAAUCGGGUGAAUGACAUGUCUAAUGGUCACCAAAUGACCUGAAUUUUGGAUAUGUUUAACAUAUAGAUGUCUAAUAUGUUUCUGCAAAUUUUCGUAAUUUUCUGCCAUGUAUGUUAAUUAUGGUGAAUUUACUAGUAACCCAUGCUCGUAUAGACAGUUUUUACUGGCAGAUUGUGAUGUUUUUUGAGACGUGACUUUAGACUACUAUUUUGACCCAAAAUGGCUCUGUAUUUCUAUUUUAUGAAGAUUAGUAUGUCUAUUUUGAUCAGUAUAAAUUUGGUAGCAAUCAAGCUUGUAAAUUAAUUAUGAUAAAUUCUAAAGUAAGUGUAACUCAUUGCUGAAAUUCUGUUUGACAACUUUAUGUUGGUUGUGAUGUCUAUUUUAUUAUGUCUAAUAUAUAAAGACAUUUUCUUUAGGUACAUCUUUAAAAGAAUAUAUUAACGAGUGUUUGCCCAAGUGGGAGAAUUAGUGAACGAAAAUUGGGCUUCACACUCAUUAACUUAUUUGCAAGUAUAAACUCUGAUAACUUAGUGGGAGUUCUAAAAUUUUGAGCACUAAGUGGACUUGCAUGAAUCUAUUAAAGCAUUAUUCUAUCUUCCAUGAAUUUGUGUUACUUGAAUGUCUAUAAUAUGUUUAAGUUGCACAAAUGGAUACUUGGUGUAUGCGUACAUUUUCUAUUACUUGCAAUCAUUUAGAUUUCUCGAUUGAUCAUAUUGUUUUGGGGUUCAUAAGGACUUAGCAUAAAUGUGGAUUUAUUAAUACAUAUAAGACGGUUGUUGGAUGCACGUUUUUUGUGUAAAUAGCAGUGAAUGCUUUCAUGCUUAGUUGUACCUUUCAUUGAGGUAAUAUGCAUUCAUUGACUAAGUAAGGCUAUUCCCAAAGGCAGUAUGAUUUAAGUGACUUUUGAUUUGCAAAUUAAGUAACGAUGUUGCAGAUCAGUGGGAGUUUGAGUUUCGUGUUAGUAAUGUCUUACAUUUGCAGAUGACCUAUAAAGUAUGUAUAGAAUCCAUGUAUUCAUAUUAAUCUCCAGUUGGAUUCAUUAAGUCACAUUUUUUGUGUGCUAGUCAAUCAUCUGAUGAAAUAUAUAUUAGAUUUCAAGUUGUUAUCAAAUUGCAUAUUAAAUGUCAUGGCAUGGUUUGUGCACUACCUCAGUUGUGAAGAUUUCCAUCUUGCCCGCAGGUGUUGGAAAUCAUUAUGAAAGUAACUGGUAUGGUGCAUAGAUCAGUGUCAAAAACAUAUUAAUUCAUCUUGCUCACAAGUGUUGAAUUAAUUUGUUUUAUGAAGUUUUUGGGAUAUUUUACUUGGACAUGUGCCUAUUUGGUAUUUUCAGUUGUGUCCGUUGGUUACAAACAUUGUUUGUAUUGUUACUGAUCUAAUGAAGGUGAUGCAUGAUUGUUUUGGAGAUGUAUUCACACCUAUAGGUUAUGGUGGUUUCAUUAGAUGAAGGAUAUCUGCAUUGGCAGAUUUAAGGCUUCGAAGAAGCAUAAAGUGUAACUUGUGAGUUACAAUAAGGUGGACCUAAGAUGAUAUAAAGUAAGACAUUUUAGUUAAUUUAAAGUUUAUUUAAAGUUUCACCUCUUGAUCAUAAUUUGUGUUUCAUGUGAAUGAGGAUCUUAGCAUGUGUGAUUAUGAAGGUUCUGGGUUGUGUCAAUCCUACAACUUUGUUAGUUCCAUGUUAAGAAAUGCAUUUGACAGAAGCUGCAUUAAGGACGAGAUGUAAUCACUGUUACAUGGCCACUAAAGUGACAUUAGUCUCCAAUCUCAAGUAUAAACGUGAAUAUUACAUUUUGUAGACCAAGUGGGAGAAUGUUGGAUUUAUCCAAUAUAAAUCAACCUUAAGUGGUCUACUACAUGUAAUAGGAAUGUAAUAUUGGAGAAUAAUGUUAAUUGUGAUUUAAUCUCUUAAAGAUAUUAAUUCUAUAUAAGGUGUCUUAUAUUGGAAAUAGGAUUGAUGGAAUCCUUAAUAAUAUAUGAUUAUGAUAUUUUACUUGAGAGCCAAGAAAUGAGAGUUUUAGUUUUCCCUUAUGGACGGAAUCUAAGACUUUUUGGCUAGUAUAUAAACACCGGUCCCUGCUAACCCUAGACACGACAACUAAGGCUUCCCAUAGAGCUUUGUCAUAAAGCUAGGAGUUUACAGAAUAGUUGGUGUUUCUGUUUGUCACGGCAAACAUAAAGAUUGGAGUUUUAUCGAUCACAUCUUGCUUGCAUGGCUGCUGCAUCUUCGAUAACUACCAUUGGAAUCAGGUCAGUCACUCUUUCGUUUGUGUUUUAAUUGUAUAACCUUAUAAGGCUAACAGCAGAUUCACCCGAAGAGUAGGCAUUGGCAGAAAGGGAUGUGAGGGACAGAAAUCCAGCAGGUGAUUGGGAAGCAGACGGUGGACCGGAUGGAAGGAAAGAUGCAGGAGAAGAUGGAGGGGCAAUGAAGGGUAAUACAAUUGCGGUGGAGGUUGUUUGGUUAUCAGAGGUUGAAACUGCGGCUCCUGGCACUACAGGCUCGGGAACGAGGACAGCAUGACCAGUGGCGAAGCCACGUGAGGGCGAGGAGUGGCGACCGCCACUCCCCUCACCGGAAAUGAAGCCCAGGAGCGAGUACCCGCCCCUCCUCUCGCCGGAAAUGAAGCCAUGUUUUUUGCUGCAGCUGCACAAACGCUGAGCGUGCAACGGUGAAGCUGUUAAGGCCCGGGAGGGGUCCGCCCCUCCUCUCACAGGAAAACAUGCCCAAAAAUCAUGGUUUGCUGCCCCAUAGCACCUCUGGUUUCGCCGGAUUGCAGCUCACAAUUGCUACAACUGCAGCAGUUCUUCAUGGCUGCGCAGGGAAGGGAAAACUUGAAAAAAACAAAAUUAAUAUUAAAAUAAGUGAAACGGUGUGUUUGGGCAUUUGGGCUUAAUUUGAAAAACAAAUAUUAAAAUAUGAUGGGAGGACCACUUGUCCCCAUUACCUCUCGGCUUCCUCCCCCAAAGUUUUCCUUUUUUUUAUGCAUGCAUGUAUGGAUGGACCUGUUGGGCAAUGCCAUUGGAAUGGCUAAAGAGCACUUUUAGUUACAUCUGCCAUAAAAAUUACAUCUUUCUAAGUUCUCGAAGUGCUUUUUGUCAGAUUAUUCUUCAGGAAGUCUUUCACGAAGAAGCAUUUAGAUAUUGAAUAAACUAAUGAAUGCACUUUUAGGCUUUUAGCGUAAACACACUUAUAAAUGAGCAUAACUACUUUUUACAUAGUUCAAUCAUCAACAAGUCGUAUAUCGCUAGACUUAUGUUGACAAAUUAAAUCCAAAUCAAACGUUUAAAAAAGAAUCAACUUAAUCAAUGAUCUAAAUUUAAAUUAUGACAACACAUUUUUUUGUGGUUUGUUAACCCAUUUUUCUCUUCUCUUUUCUUUUAUUUAUUUAUUAUUCUUGUAUGUAUUUUUUUCCCUCUUUUUAAAACCCCAGCGUAUUUAUCUUAAACUCUCACAUUAUCUAUAAAUGUUGUAUUAAUUUUUUUUUAAAUAAUGUAAAUAUCGUGUAAUGCUUAUUUUACAAUAAAAGACAUUUAAAUCCAUCUAGGUUCCUACCUAAAUCUCGCCUAAGCGCCUAAUUGGUAGGCCCUAGUCCGCCGCGUGACUAGCGCCUAAUGUUUUUUAGAAUCUAAUUCUUACCAAUUUAAGCUUCUUACAUGCCUUUGAUCUUACCGCUUACAACCGAUUUGGUGGAUAUACUGUUUUCUGUUAUAAAUAUUGAUUCAAAACUUUGCCCUCUCCAAUGUGAAGGCAACCGUUUCGAUUGAACCUUGCACUCUUUUGAAUUUAGCCCCUCCCCUCGGCAAAUCCUGGCUUCGCCACUGAGCAUGACCAAUUCGCUUGCUAGUUUUAUGUGACCCGAAGCACCAAUAUAGGCUCCAGCAGCUUCCCCAUCUUCUUUUCUGCAGUCAAAUGGUAAAAGAUUGUCAACGACACAGUUUCAAAAAUAGCUAUAAAAAAGGAAGGCAUUCCAAGCCGUCGAAGGCAAGGAGUGAUCCCAAAUGUAGCAAUUUUGAAUAUAAUUUUGAAUAGAGUGACCAUAACUAGUAACAACGCUUGCCAAGAGGUUGGUUUUCUAAAAACAUACUUCUAGGUGAUAAUAGUGAAAGACUCCACCAGACAAAAAAUAACCUAUGUCAUAUGUUUGUAUUCUCUUAAAUGCAAUAACUUAAUCCUUUGUUGGGAAAGGUCUCAACUGUUUUUGAGAAAAUAUAUUUGUUUGUUUUAUAUCUCUAAUCAUAUGGACGUGCGCAAGAAUCUCUCCUAAUUUGAUUUUUAUUGAUACAAUGAUCUGAUUGGUUUUAUGUUUUUCAAACAUAACAAUGAUCUGGACAUGUUGAUAGAUUCUCUUCAUUGCAAUGAAGAGGAACUUGUUCCACAAGUUACAUAUGUAUCUAUUUAAUGUUGACAAAACUAAUAGUUGUAUUAAACUAGCUUAAUGUGGCCAUGGGUUUCACUAAUUAAUGACUAAAUCUUGCAAGUUGGGGGAUAAUUGGAUAUGGGAUUGGACAAAAGAAAGCCAGCUGUCAUCUCUCUCACACACACAUUUUUUUAAUAGGUGAUGUUAUUCACACUUUCUCAAACGUCCUUCUCAAUUUCCGAUGAUUGGACCAAAUGAAUUGAAGAAGAUCAAUAGAUAAAAUUAACGAGAGUGUGGGAUGUAAAAACAUGUGUGUGAAUAGCAUUACCCUUUUUUAUUUAUGUAUGUAAUUUUUUUAAGUUGAACACGUUUUAAUUAGAGUUGUUUGAUAACUGGGUAACGCUAGAUAAACCAACUUUUUAAACCAAAUAUGUAAAUUGCAUGACGUGUCACCAAUAGAAAAUAAGCAUGUUAAUAAACAUUAAUUUAAUCACCAACAACCACAUCAUACGGUUUACAAAAUAUAGUUUUAAUAUAUUGUCUCACUAGCAUUACCCUAACUGAAUACUUUCAGUUUUCAUAAAAAUGAAAAUUGAAAACAACAAAGUAAAAAUUGAAGGCAAAAUUUUGAAAACUUAAGAAAGUAUUUUUCUUGUUUUCAUUUUUUGAAAACCAUAAAUAGCUAAAAUUUGUGGGGCCAUGGAUCGCAGGUGUCAUGUUUCCACAAUCCUUUUCUUAUGUAGAGAUUUGGCUUUGCUUUAUGUUGGGACCAAGUCGAGAUCCAUAAUGGUCAUGUUUUCACGUAAUGUUAUGAAUUUAUGUGUUAUAAUAUAAAUUUGUUGAUGUGAUUUUGUAAGAAUUGUUAGUAGAAGUGGAUUAAUAAGCAGAAAAAAUCAUUAAAUUAAUAGUAUUACAUGACAGAAUAAUAGUCACACUAAAAAGUUGACUCCAAGGGAGAUGGAUAUGGUCUAAAAAUUUUCACAACUCAUUGAUACUCAUUCAAUGUUACUUGAAUCAUACUUGAAAUGGCUUCUAAGUUCCAAGUUAAUGUUACUUGAAUCAUACUUGAAAUGGCUUCUAAGUUCCAAGUUAUGAUAGUUGCCAUGACAUGACAAAAUAGUCUUCUCAUUUUUCUUAGAAAAUUAUUAUGUUUUAGGGGAUAUCCACAUGUAAAACUGUUACAGACUUUUAAUUAAAAAUAGAACUCAAAGCAACGUUAAUGAAAAAGCAGCUAAAUUUAACUGAAGGAGAGAGAAAAAGAGGGUGUGAGAAAGAGAGGGAGAAAGAGAGAAAAGAAAGGGGUAGGAAAAAUUGGUCUUUUCACACUAUCUUGUGCCUUUAUGUAUUGUAACAUAACAGGCUUACUACCACUUAGUACUACGGUCUAAUAGUAUUCUUCUUCACUUCUUCACUUGUAAGUGAGAGGUCUUAUGUUUGAUUCUCGCCAAAGGCGAAUUUGAACCACAUUAUUGCUAGCACAUUGUGAGACUAAAUUCACCCUCUUCCUUAGUAUAGAUAAUAUUGUUUGUUAAAAAAACAAAAAAAAAAAACAUAAUGGUCUUACUUGAGCUACAAAUAAGAAAGUCUAAGAUCUUCCAUAUUACGUAAGGAAUUCUAAUACAAUCAGUUAAGAUUUACACAAUUACACAUAUGCUAUAAUUCUACCUACAACAUAAACCAUAAAAUACAUACAAAAAUUUGUCGGUUUUAUGUUUCAUUAAAAGUUUGAUACUUACAUGUAUAUAAUAGGAUCACCAUCAAGACGGCCAAAUGAUGGUUGUAUUAAAUACAUAUAUUCACAUGAAUUAUAUCAACCGUUGGAUGAUGAUUGUAUUAAUAUAUAUAUAUAUAUAUAUACAAACCCUUUAAGGGAAGGGAUCCCCAUUUUUCAAAAAAAAUGGAGACACCCUCUUGACCGUUAGAUUUGACUUUAAUAAAAUUCAAUGACUGAGAUUAAAUCACAGGCCACAGAAUCUCAACCACAGGAUUUCAUUAAAAUCAAAUCUAACAGUUAAGAAAAUGUCCCCAUUUUUUUUUUUGAAAAAUGGAGAUCCCUUCCCUUAAAGGCUUCCUAUAUAUAUAUUUAUAUAUAUAUAUAUAGUCAGCCCGAAAAGUUUGAGAACUGCCAUUAGCAAUCCUAAAGUCAUCAUGAAUCUUGACUGAUUAAUGUACUGUAAGGUCCAAAACCCAACUACUCUGCUGGCCCAUAAUAUUUUCUUCUCUUUUUUUGGGGUCAAAAGGCCCAUAUUUCAUCUACUUCAAAACAAUUAAACCCAGCGUCUGAUGGCCUACAGAUUUUAGUAAAAUCCCAUACAAAUAAAGGGAGACCCCCAAUAAGGUCCCGCUUUGUGAAGGUCGGGGGGGGGGGGGGGGGGGAGGAUAAACAUCUAUCAUACGCCUCUUUGUCUUUGCUUUACAAAGAGGUUAUUUUCAUGACUCGAACCUGUGACAUUUUGGUUACAAAUGAGCAAUCUUUCAUGCUUUCCCAUACAAAGGUAGACAAAAAACUAUACAAAGAUGCUUGCUUUCUUUGUUGUCCAAAAGUUUCAUCUAAUUAGUGUUAAACCAAUAGCAGUGACUAUAAGAGUGGAGGGGACUCCAAAUUUCAGAUGGCUCCAGAAGGACAAUGUGUAGGCAAGUUGUGGAGAUUGGCGAGCCUGCUCGCACACUAUCAAGUUGGCUGCUGAUCCCAAAAGCGACAGGUUUCCGGCCACGGUGCUCACCCAAGCUAAUAGGAGCCACGCCUUCUUCUCCUCCGCGGCAGAGAUUAGGGCCGCCGACGCUGCCACCCGCCCUCCAAGUAACAAAACUAUCCAACACAAGAAAAAAAAACAUGCAUGCUAAGUGGCUGCUGAAAGUUUGAGAAUAUUUUGGUUCUUAUAGAGUGCAAACGGAAAAUAAUAUCAGCAUACAUACCAGUUGGUACAUUUGAAGCCAAAUUUGACAGCACAAGUAUGGUGACUGCAAGAACUGCUAUCCCGCUAGCAUGAUCAAUUUGCGCAUGCGGCUCCAUGAAGUCCCAAAGAUCGCUUGGAAUGCCGGUCUUGUUGAAUCCAUUGACGGUUAUAAACAUUCCGCAGAAGAAAAUCAGGAGUGAAUAGGAAAUCUGUCAAAGAAAGAAAGAAACUUGUUAAUUUGUAAUCUAAUCUAACGUUCGGAGUGAACUUCGUGCUUCUGAAACUUACCUUUUCUAGGCUUGGACGGGCAUCCGUGAAGUCAAGAACAGCCAGAGCAAGUGCAGCAGUAAUCGCACACCACGACAUAUUGAGGCCCAUAAGCAGUGCAAUCAGCAUUCCUAUGGUAAUAAGGUAAACACCAGAUUUCCACAAUAUCCUUUUCCAUCUUUUGGUCAGAUGUUCCUUCCCUUCCAACGACUCCGUAGGAAAUGCAUCUGUUUGUCUAUCAUUCGAUGGAGACCUUUUUGAUGGGAUUGUUUCGUCCCUUUUAUGAGAAGACAAAUCAUUCGUCUCCUCUUUUGAUGCACUUGAAAUUCUUGCAGACUCUAUUGCCACUAGGAACCUUGUUCACUUCAUUCUCGCUAGAAGGUAAGCGGUUUCUAAGAGUCUCGACAUUACCUAUGCUCACAUUAAGAUUCGGAGAACUUUGUAGAGUCUGGAUUUCCAAUCUAGAGUUCAGUUCUUGAGAGUUUAAGGAUGUACUAUGUGACAAUGUAGCUGGUGAAAACCGAUGACAACUUACAUCCUCCUCUGGAACAGGUCCCAGAGCUGGAUCUUCCUCAUCCUUCUGGACAGACAACAAUCUCCAGAACAUACAUAGAAGAAUCAAAGCAUUCACACAGACUCCCACAAGCAUUGCAGGGAGAAUUCCAAUCACAAAUGUCCCGAAAGAUAUCUUACUCUGAACAGCUAUAACAAGGUUUUGAGGAUUGCCGAUCGGGGUUGCUGCAGACCCAAUGUUUGCACUCGAGGCAAGGGCGAGUAGGAAAGGAUGAGGUGGGAGGUUAUGUUGUCUUGCAACUUUCAAAACAAACUCGGUCAAAACCACACAAGAGGUGUCAUUGGUGAAGAGAGCGCUCGAAACUGUAGAAAUCAAACAGAUUCGACAGAGCAAGUCCCUUGCCCCUUGAGUUUUCCACAUGAGCAACUUGCCCAAAUACUUGAAUAUAUCUGCUCUUUCGAGAUAGAUACUCACAACCAUUGUCCCAAACAGAAGACCAAUGAUUGGGAGAUCAAUAGCAGCGUAUGCUUGAUCAGGAGUUAAGACUCGGAAAACAACCAUAAGCAUUGCCCCGAGGAGGGACCCUGCAGUCCUACCGAUUGGCAAGAAAGGGACAGCCGGAAACACAGCCAACACCCAAAAGACUGCAAAAGCAAUUGAGCCAAGAACCACUUUGACAGGAGAAGCCAUUGCCAUUUUCCCAACUUAAGACUGGAUGUGCUCCCUCCUGUGCACUCAGAUUUGAACCCCGUAGUCUAUAUUAGUUUAAAGUAGAAUAUCGCUUGUAUCAUAAGAAGCUGAAGAUCUUACUCAUGAUAGCUAACCAUAGCAUCAAUAUGAGCCAAAAACGAAAAGACCUGAACACGAAAACCAAUUCCAGUUGCACAAUAAGAUUUAAUAAAUAUUCAAAUUAGCGACUGAAAAACUAAGACCUGAGCCAAACAGCUUGAAUGCAACAGUAAACACAAACAAGAAGAUAAGGAUCAGUGUGCAGUAUUGCAACUUCGUGUGGACUGUAAGGCUGCGUUCGUUAGAAAUGGGGGACAACUUCCAAAUUUUUUUCUGAAUUGAAGGUAAAAGAUUGAGUGGUCAUGAAAGAAGUUAUCCCUUCUAACCUACUAUUGUAAAGAUUGAGUAGUCAUGAACAAAGUUAUCCCUUCUAAUCCUACUAUUGUUGUGGGAUUAGACGGGAAAACUUUCCUUCAUGAAUAAUUCAUCUUCUAUAUCCGUUUCUUCCCGAGUUAUCCUAUCCAAAGUCAAUCCUCUCAACAAUCGCAUCCUAAAUCUCAAUCAUUUACAAGAACCAAGCCAAGAUUGAAACGUUCAAUCUGUUUAAUAGCAAUAACUCAAUAGAAAUUUACAAAGAUUCAUCAGGAAAAAAAAAAAAAAGUUGAUGGAGAUUCGUUUACUAAUUUCAGCAAAAAACCUUAUCCAAAAACCACUGUAUUUGCUAUAAAUAGAAUGAAACAGAAAGGAAGCUCAAGCUGGACAGGAAAAAGUGCUUAACUUUUAAGCAAAAUCUAAACUAAUUAGCAUUACCAGGACCAAAAGAAACAAAGAUCUUACCUCGAAAAAUGGUUCAAGGAAGUGGGGAUUGAACUGCUUUUCCAUGUAACUACAUGAAGCAUAAAAAGUUCUUGGCUUUGGGAUUCUAACUUUUUUCUGUUUCGGGUAAAUUAAUAAAUAAGUAAAAAGGAAAUCGAUCGAUUUGCAGUGGGUGGAGCUUCUUCUCAGUUCCCAUAUGAUCAGGAUCCUCUCCCGAGCUAAGGGUGAGGAGAACCAAGAAAUGUGGAUUAUUGGAUGAAAAUUCAACGGUUAUAAUUAUUAUAACUUUAAAGGUAUCCUUCUGUUUGUAGUCGUUGAAUAAAAAUACAACACCCACACUUUUUUAUCAGGAGGAUCCUUAUCCUUAGCUCAGGAGAGGAUCUGAUCCGUUCCCAUAUCCACACGAUGAAAUUUAAAAUAAAAAGCUAGAAACUUUGACUUUGAUUAUCUUUGUCUUUAAUAUAUGUUUGAUGCUCUUUAAGGUCGUACCAAUCACAAUCCCACAUUAAUGAAUUCAUCUCAAUCCAAUGAGAAAUUUUACAAUGUGCCGAAAAUACCGUUCGUUAACAUUGUUAUAAUACAAGUUAUUGGAUCUAUUUCUUCAUUUUUUUUUGUUUGGAAUUAACAGUUUGGCAAUGAAACGAACUGAAAUUGUUUAUAUUCAUCAUCUAUAAUGAACUAAAUGUUUAUAUCUCAAUACUAAUGUGUCGAUGUUAUUGUUGCUAACAAAACGUAACAGAAUAUAUAUUUUCAAUAAUAUUAUACACGUUUGUAAUUUCUACCUAUUCUUCCGGUUUGUUUUUUGUUCACAAAGAAUUUCUACCUAUUCUUCUAGCAUUUAGAUUGCAUAAAUCAAAUACUCAAAUACCAGAACAAAGAAAUAAACGCGGAGAGAAAAAAAAUACGGCAUUUAUAUUGCAUAAAUUAAACAAAACAAGGACAAAAACAAAGAAAUAAAAACAGAAAAAACUUUUUUUAAAAAGUAUGAAAAUCACUGUCUAAAAAAAUGCAUUUUUUAUAGGGAACUUUAACAAAAAGUUCACGGUACUGUUUAUUUUAACAAAAAAUCACAUUUUUACACUAAAAAGUCAAUCAUAGUACUAUUCAUUUUACCCUUUAUUUUGUCCUUAUCGUUAAAACUUAAAGUUUUCAAACUCUGUUUAUUAGUUUUUCUUAUUUUAUAUGAUGCAAAUAUGGGGACUUCGCUCUUAUUCUUAUACUUUUCUUUAGAGUUUUAUUAUUAUAUUUAUAAAUUACAGGUUUUCAACGUAAAAAAGUUCGUACUGUAUUUCAGAUUUUAGUGAUUUUUUAUAGAUGUGAUUUUUAAGUGGACAUUUAAAAAAUAGACGAUUAUGAUCGUUAAAAUACGCUAAAAAGUAGGUUCUAAAAAAACGUGAGUAAAAAAAAUAGUGUUACCAAUAUGCACCUAAUGGUACAACCUUUUUUAAUCUGUUGCCUGCAGGAUUUAAUAUUUUUCUGAAUCUCUGUGAACCGAUAUCUGGUUUGAAAUUAUGAGAAAUUGGAAGUGUUAGAUCGGAUAGGGGUGGAAGUAAAGGACAGGUCUCUCGACAUCUAGCAGAUAUUCUCGGAUUUGAGAGAGUGGGAGAUCCGGGGAUUUAUCUCGGGGUUCCUGCUAUAUGGGGAAGAUCUAAGAAAGCUGGGCUGGCCUAUGUUAAAGGCAGGCAUUUGGAUAAGCUGCAAGGUUGGAAAAAAUCAACUCUUUCACAAGUUGGACGAGAGAUCCUGAUUAAGGUGGUGGCACAAGCAAUCCCGGCUUAUCCAAUGAAUUUGUUUAAGUUUCCUAUAUUGUUUUGUAACGAAUUGGAUGCCUUGUUAUCUAAAUUCUGGUGGGGUCAACAAGGUGAAAAUCGGAUCCAUUGGGUAUCCAGGGAGAGGUUGGGUCAGCUGAAAGAGGAAGGGGGUCUCAGCCUAAGGAGCUUUGUGAUGUUCAAUGACGCUCGGUUGGCCAAAUAGUGUUGGAGGUUGAUUUUGGAACCUACAUCCUUAUAGGCACUUGUGCUUAAGGCCCGUUAUUUUCCUAAUUGCUCUUUCCUUGAUGCUAAGAAGGGUGGGAGAGCUUCUUAGGUUUGGUCUAGCCUUCUGGCUGGAAGAGAGAUUCUGAGGAAUGGUGCCCAUUGGCAGAUCAUGGAUGGAAAUGACAUGAGGGUUUGGGUGGACAGAUGGCUCCCCUCCAUUCCUUUGGGUAGACCGUCCCCGUUGGGUUCAGUUCAAGUCUCAAAAAAUCUAAAGGUGAAGUCGCUAAUUUGUCCUGAGAGUGGGGAAUGGGAAAUUGAUUUUUUAAAACCUUUCUUGGCAGAUUCGGAGAUUGAGGCAAUAUUGGAUAUGCAUACUGGUGAUCCGACGCUCAAGGACAUAUUGGUUUGGCCUUAUGACAAUAGGGGGUCUUAUUCUGUCAAAUCAGGUUAUUAUUGGAGUCUCACUCGAAAUAUUGAUUGCAGCCUUCAAUCAAACCGGUUGGUCUCCAUUCCUACUACCUUAUGGAAGAUUGUCUGGAAGUUGAAGGUACCUCCAAAAAUAAGAACUUUCAUGUGGAAGACCCUGCAUGCGGCUUUAGCUACUAUGAAGAAUUUAUAUAUUCAUAGAUCUUCUCCUUGUCCCAUUUUCCCUCUAUGUAACUCUAAUGAUGAGUCCAUUGAACAUCUCUUUCUUUUUUGUCCAUGGGUGGAGGUGGUUUGGUUUGGGGGUAUGUUGAACUUGCAACCUCAUUGGCUGCAUGUUUCGAGCUGGGCAAACUGGAUCGUGCAAAUGGGUGAUGCGGAGAUUGGGUCCAUGGAGGUGAGGAUUAAUCAGAUAUCUUAUAUUGCUUUCACAUGCUGGCAUAUUUGGAAAUCAAGAUGUGAAUUUCAGUUCAACAAUCAAGUUAUCUACCUCAGCAGGAUGGUUGCUGUUAUCUCCAGAUCGGUCUCGACUUAUCAGGAAUCAAUCAAUAGGCCGAGUUCCCCAUCUUUGCUCAAUCAACCGAGUAUGGGUGAUGGAGUGCAGUGGUCUCCUUCGAAUCAAGGAGUUAUCAAAAUUAAUAUGGAUGCUAGCUGGGAGGCAAGUGUGGGUAAGGGUUUCACGGGGAUGGUGGCAAGGGAUGAGCAUGGUCGGUUUUUGGCUGCUUUUAGGCAUAAGAUCAAGGCUACUGGUGCUACUAUGACGGAAGCUUUGGCCAUUAUGCAUGGGUGUAAUCUGGGGGUAAGAAACGGAUGGAAUUCGAUAUAUAUUGAAUCUGACUCUUUCGAAGCAUUAUCUUGCCUGAGGGAUCCGGCAAAGAAGGGCAGUUGGGAUGCUUUUCCCAUUCUUAGGAAGUGCUUUAGAUUGGGAAUGGCUUUUCAAGCUUGUCGCUGGUCUUGGGUACCAAGACUGGCCAACACGGUCACGGACUUUUUGACGUCGCGAAAAUGUAGGGAAGUAUGUGAUCUCUGUUGGGUCAAUAGACCCCCAUCUUCCCUGGUCCAUGUCUUAUGCAAUGAUGGCCUUCCUUGCCCCUCUUAGUAGUUUUUUGAUAGCUUGAGAAGGGACGCUUUAUCAUUAGACGCGGCGUCAUGGUUCCCUUGUACCUUCUUGUUCUAUUUUCUGUUGUUGUUUCUGUUGUUUGAUUGCCUCUUUGGUAGGCUUUCUUGUAAUCUUUUGGCAUCUUUGCCCGGUUAUAGCUUAUCUGAUUUCCAAAAAAAAAAAAGUACUUUUAUUAGAAGCAUGUCAAAAACUUUAAUUAAAAUGAGGCACUAGUUGGUAAUGAACUCUAAGCUCCAAAAAGUGUUUUUAUAAUCCAUAAUUAGUUUUAAUACGUGUCUAGUAUUUCUUCUAAAAUGGUUAAAAAAUCUAUCUAAUAAUCAAAAUGUUUUUUUUUUAUUAUGUUUAACAAAUAAACUUAAAAGCAUGUUUAUGUUGAAAAAACACGUCUAAAAAAAAUCAACAAAAAUGUGUUUCCAACCAAAGCAGUUCCAAACAAACCCUCAAUUAUUUCUAAGCACUACAAAAACCUAUUGGUGUGCAAUUAGCCACACUGCAAUAUUCAUCUCGAUCCAGCUGAUGGUGAUGAGGUUUGGAGUUGGCGCCAUGAACUUUUUUCCACAUGACAUGCUGCCCUAACGCUUUCCUUCUUGUUUUAUCAUGUCUCCUGGUUUGUUGGUCACAGCCUGUUCCCAGUUUGCAUUUCUGCCCUGUUUUGGGCAGUGAGUAGGACAGAGACUUUGAGCUUUUUUAACAACAAAAAGACCAGACGGUGGCUUCUCCACGUUAGUCUACCUCUUUCAGAAGCUGGAAAAACUCACAUAAACAUUUCAACCUCCCAUAGUCAUCAUCGUAUGAUUCACCAGAAUCAAUAAUUGAACACAGGAUCAAAAUGUACUGUGUAGAAUACAGGUCAAGAAUUUGUCUCAACCACUAGACCACCCCGUGGUGGUUGAUAGAGACUUGAGCUUUGAAUCACUCGAUUUCGUUGAGUAUUGAAGAAGUUAUGAACGUUUAAAGUUUACCUAGUUUUCGGCGAGUUUUCCAGUUUUCCCACGGACCAGUCAAAUUUCAGGCUAUAUUCCGGCCAUCUAUGGCAACAAUUGAGCUUCCAAAUAGGUAUAAUCUUGUUCUACACUUACCUAUCUUCAUUUUGAUAUAUUAUGGGUCGAAUUUGGUUAAGAAACGAUUAAGUUACAAAACUUUUAAAAUUGACCAUUUCUAUUGAUUAUGCAAAUCUUAAGAACCAUUUUGGCUUUGAGCCUAUAGUAGUACUACGUUCUAGUGAUAUUUCUCUUCACUUGUGUUGAUGCACAAAACCGGAGGUCUUGGAACAACGUAAAUCCGACCGUGAAUCUGCAUUAAAUGUAAAUAACACAAGAUGUAUCGUGGUUCACCCCAAGGUUUGGGCUACUUCCACACUGAUUAUGUAUUUCUUUGUUUGUGAGGGAGAGAGAUUCAGAGCCUCUCAGGGAGAGAGUGAGGUCUCUGAUGGCCUAGGAAUUGGCCUCCCCUUAAUUGUGAGGGUGAGGAGUCCUUUUAUAGAAUAAGGGCUCCUCACUUCUUAUAUAUUUGCCCCUUCCUUUAUUACAUAAUUACAUUUAAGUCUCCCGAGUAUUUAUACGAGAUUUAAAUACGGAAGCCCUAAGUAUGGUACAAACAACUUGUAAGUGAGAUGUCUAAGGUUCAGCUCUAGCCAAAGACUAAUUUGAACUACAUUAUUGUUAGCCCAUUGUGAGGCUAAACCCACCCCCAUAGCGAAAAUAAUAUUGUUUCUUAAAAAACAAAAGGGACCCCAACCAACAAGGCUUCAUGCUUUGCGAGGGCCAGGGGAACUUCUAUCGUACGCAUCCUUACCCUUACUUUGCAAAGAGGAUAUUUUCAUGACUUGAACCCGUGACCUUUCGAUCACAAAGGAGCAACCUUUCCCAUACAAAUGUAGAAAUAAAACUAUACAAAGAUGCUUGCCCUCCACAAGGACAAUGUGUAGGCAAGUUGUGGAGAUUGGCGAGCCUGCUCGCACACUAUCAAGUUGGCUGCUGAUCCCAAAAGCGACAGGUUUCCGGCCACGGUGCUCACCCAAGCUAAUAGGAGCCACACCUUCUUCUCCUCCGCGGCAGAGAUUAGGGCCGCCGACGCUGCCACCCGCCCUCCAAGCAACAAAACUAUCCAACACAUAAGAAAGAAAAUACAUGUUAAGUGGCUGCUGAAAGUUUGAGAAUAUUUGUAGUGCAGACAGAAAAUAAUAUCAAGAUAUAUACCAGUUGGUACAUUUGAAGCCAAAUUCGACAGCACAAGUAUGGUGACUGCAAGAACUGUUAUCCCGCUAGCAUGAUCAAUUUGCGCAUGGGGCUCCAUGAAGUCCCAAAGAUCGCUUGGAAUGCCGGUCUUGUUGAAUCCACUGACGGUUAUAAACAUUCCACAGAAGAAAAUCAAGAACGAAUAGGAGACCUGUCAAAGAAAGAGAAUCAAACUUGUUAACAUUUGUAGUCUAAUCUAACAUACGGAGAGCGAUACUUACCUUUUCUAGGCUUGGACUGGCAUCCGUGAAGUCAAGAACAAUCAGAGCAAGUGCAGCAGUAAUCGCACACCACGACAUAUUGAGGUCCAUAAGCAGUGCAAUCAGCAUUCCUAUAGUAAUAAGGUAAACACCAGAUUUCCACAACAUCCUUUUCCAUCUUGUGGUUAGAUGUUCCUUCCCUUCCAACGACUCCGUAGGAAAUGCAUCUGUUUGUCCAUCAUUCAAUGGAGACCUUUUUGAUGGGAUUGUUUCGUCCCUUUUAGUAGAAGACAAAUCAUUCGUGUCCUCUUUUGAUGCACUUGAAAUUCUUGCAGGCUCUAUCGCACCACUAGGAACCUUGUUUAUUUCAUUCUUGCUCGAAGGUAAGCAGUUUCUGAGAGUCUCAACAUUACCUACGCUCACAUUAACAUUUGAAGAGGUUUUUACAGCCGGGGUUUCCAAUCUAGAGUUUAAGGAUGCACUAUGUGACAACGUAGUUGGUGAAAACCGAUGAGAACUUACAUCAUCCUCUGCAACAGGUUUCUGAGCUGGAUCUUCCUCAACCUUCUGGACAGACAACAAUCUCCAGAACAUACAUAGAAGAAUCAAAGCAUUCACACAAACUCCCACAAGCAUUGCAGGGAGAAUUCCAAUCACAAAUGUCCCGAAAGAUAUCUUACUCUGUACAGCUAUAACAAGGUUUUGAGGAUUGCCAAUCGGGGUUGCGGCAGACCCAAUGUUUGCACUCGAGGCAAGGGCAAGUAGGAAAGGAUGAGGCAGGAGGUUAUGUUGUCUUGCAACUUUCAGAACAAACUCGGUCAAAACCACACAAGAGGUGUCAUUGGUGAAGAGGGCGCUCGAAACUGCAGAUAGAGUUUUCCACAUGAGCAACUUGCCCAAAUACUUGAACAUAUCUGCUCUUUCGAGAUACAUACUCACAACCAUUGUCCAAAAACAGAAGACCGAUGAUUGGGAGAUCAAUAGCUGCAUAUGCUUGAUCAGGAGUUAAGACUCGGAAAACAACCAUAAGCUUUGCCCCAAGGAGGGACCCUGUAGUCCUCCCAAUUGGCAAGAAAGGGACAGCCGGAAACACAGCCAACACCCAGAAGACUGCAAAAGCAAUCGAGCCAAGAACCACUUUGACAGGAGAAGCCACUGCCAUUUUUCCAACUUAAGAGUAGGUGAGCUCCCUCCUAUGCACUCAAAUUGGAACCCCGUAAUUUAUAUUAGUUUAAAGUUGAAUAUCGCUUGUAUCAUAAGAAGCUGAAGAUCUUACUCAUGAUAGCUAACCAUAGCAUCAAUACGGACCAAAAACGAAAAGACCUGAACACAAAAACCAAUCCCAGUUGCACAACUAGUUUUACCAAAGAUUCAGCUUAGAGACUGAACUAGACCUGAACCAAGCAACUUGAGUGUAAACAGUAAAACAAACAAAUUAUAUAUAAGGAUCAGUGUACUGCAGUAUUGCAACUUCGCGUGGACUGUAAGGCUGCAUUCGUUAGAAAUGGAGGACAACUUCCAAAUUUUGUCUGAAUUGAAGUUAAAAGAUUGAGCAGUCAUGAACGAAGUUAUCCCUUCUAAUCCUACUAUUGUUGUGGGAUUAGACGGGAAAACUUUCCUUCAUGAAUAAUUCAUCUUCUAUAUCCGUUUCUUCCCGAGUUAUCCUAUCCAAAGUCAAUCCUCUUAACAAUCUCAUUCUAAAUCUCAAUCAUUUACAAGAACCUAGCCAAGAUUGAAACAUUCAAUCUCUUUAAUAGCAAUAACUCAAUAGAAAUUUACAAAGAUUCAUCAGGAAAAAAAAAAAGUUAAUGGAGAUUUGUUUGCUAAUUUCAGCAAAAACCCUUGUCCAAAAAACCACUGUAUUUGCUAUAAAUAGAAAGAAACAGAAAGGAAGCUCAGGCUGGACGGAAAAAAGUGCUUAACUUUUAAGCAAAAGCUAAACUAACUAGCAAUACCAGGACCAAAAGAAACAAAGAUCUUACCUCGAAAAAAGGUUCAAGGAAGUAGGGAUUGAAUUGAACUGCUUUUCCAUGAUCUGCUGCCAGAAUCAGAACAUAUAACCACAUGAAACAUAAAGAGAAGUUGGCUUCAACUUUUUUCUGUUUCGGGUAAUUAAUAAAUAAGUAAAAAGGGAAUCGAUCGAUUUGCAGUGAGUGGAGCUUCUUCUCAGUUCACAAAUCGACACAAUGAAAUUUAAAAUAAAAAGCUAGAAACUUUGACUGUUAUCAUCUUUGUCCUUAAUAUAUGUUUGAUGCUCUUUAAGGUCGCACCAAUCAAUAUCCCACGUUAAUGAAACCAUCUGAGUCCAUUGAGAAAUUUUUCAUUGUGCCGAAACAAAUCCCAUACAAAUAAAAGGAGACUCCAAGCUAAUAAGGUCCCGCGCUUUGUGAAGGUUGGGGGGAGAAUAAACAUCUAUCAUACGCAUCUUUGUCUUUGCUUUGUAAAGAGGUUAUUUUCACGACUCGAACCCGUGACAUUUUGGUUACAAAGGCGCAAUCUUUCAGGCUUGCCCAUACAAAGGUAGAAAUAAAACUAUACAAAGAUGCUUUCUUUGUUGUCCAAAAGUUUCAUCUAAUUAGUGUUAAACCAAUAGCAGUGACUAUAAGAGUGGAGGGGACUCCAAAUUUCAGAUGGCUCCAGAAGGACAAUGUGUAGGCAAGUUGAGGAGAUUGGCGAGCCUGCUCGCACACUAUCAAGUUGGCUGCUGAUCCCAAAAGCGACAGGUUUCCGGCCACAGUGCUCACCCAACCUAAUAGGAGCCACGCCUUCUUCUCCUCCGCAGCAGAGAUUAGGGCCGCUGACGCUGCCACCCGCCCUCCAAGCAACAAAACUAUCCAACACAAAAGAAAAAAAAACAUGCAUGUUAAGUGGCUGCUGGAAGUAUGAUAAUAUUUUGGUUCUUAUAGAGUGCAAACGGAAAAUAAUAUCAGCAUACAUACCAGUUGGUACAUUUGAAGCCAAAUUUGACAGCACAAGUAUGGUGACUGCAAGAACUGCUAUCCCGCUAGCAUGAUCAAUUUGCGCAUGCGGCUCCAUGAAGUCCCAAAGAUUGCUUGGAAUGCCGGUAUUGUUGAAUCCAUUGACGGUUAUAAACAUUCCGCAGAAGAAAAUCAAGAGUGAAUAUGAAACCUGUCAAAGAAAGAAGGAAACUUGUUACAUUUGUAAUCUAAUCUAACGUUCGGAGUGAACUUCGUGCUUGUGAAACUUACCUUUUCUAGGCUUGGACGGGCAUCCGUGAAGUCAAACAACCAGAGCAAGUGCAGCAGUAAUCGCACACCACGACAUAUUGAGGCCCAUAAGCAGUGCAAUCAGCAUUCCUAUAGUAAUAAGGUAAACACCAGAUUUCCACAAUAUCCUUUUCCAUCUUUUGGUCAGAUGUUCCUUCCCUUCCAACGACUCCAUAGGAAAUGCAUCUGUUUGUCUAUCAUUCAAUGGAGACCUUUUUGAUGGGAUUGUUCUGUCCCUUUUAGGAGAAGACAAAUCAUUCGUGUCCUCUUUUGAUGCACUUGAAAUUCUUGCAGACUCUAUCGCACCACUAGGAACCUUGUUCGCUUCAUUCUCGCUAGAAGGUAAGCGGUUUCUAAGAGUCUCGACAUUACCUAUGCUCACAUUAACAUUCAGAGAACUUUGCACAGUUGGGGUUUCCAAUCUAGAGUUCAUUUCUUGAGAGUUUAAGGAUGUACUAUGUGACAAUGUAGCUGGUGAAAACCGAUGAGAACUUACAUCCUCCUCUGGAACAGGUUCCAGAGCUGGAUCUUCCUCAUCCUUCUGGACAGACAACAAUCUCCAGAACACACAUAGAAGAAUCACAGCAUUCACACAAACUCCCACAAGCAUUGCAGGGAGAAUUCCAAUCACAAAUGUCCCGAAAGAUAUCUUACUCUGUACAGCUAUAACAAGGUUUUGAGGAUUGCCAAUCGGGGUUGCUGCAGACCCAAUGUUUGCACUCGAGGCAAGGGCGAGUAGGAAAGGAUGAGGCGGGAGGUUAUGUUGUCUUGCAACUUUCAAAACAAACUCAGUCAAAACCACACAAGAGGUGUCAUUGGUGAAGAGAGCGCUCGAAACUGCAGAAAUCAAACAGAUUCGACAGAGCAAGUCCUUUGCCCCUUGAGUUUUCCACAUGAGCAACUUGCCCAAAUACUUGAACAUAUCUGCUCUUUCGAGAUAGAUACUCACAACCAUUGUCCCGAACAGAAGACCAAUGAUUGGGAGAUCAAUAGCUGCGUAUGCUUGAUCAGGAGUUAAGACUCGGAAAACAACCAUAAGCAUUGCCCCGAGGAGGGACCCUGCAGUCCUACCGAUUGGCAAGAAAGGGACAGCCGGAAACACAGCUAACACCCAAAAGAAUGCAAAAGCAAUCGAGCCAAGAACCACUUUGACUGGAGAAGCCAUUGCCAUUUUUCCAACUUAAGACUGGAUGUGCUCCCUCCCGUGCACUCAGAUUUGAACCCCGUAAUCUAUAUUAGUUUAAAGUAGAAUAUCGCCUGUAUCGUAAGAAGCUGAAGAUCUUACUCGUGAUAGCUAACCAUAGCAUCAAUACGGGCCAAUUCCACUUAGCUAAACGAAAAGACCUGAACACGAAAACCAAUUCCAGUUGCACAAUCAGAUUUAAUAAAGAUUCAACUUAGAGACUGAAUUAGACCAGGACCAAACAGCUUGAAUGCAAACGAUAAAACAAACAAGAAGUUCUAUAUAAGGAUCAGUGAGCAGCAGUAUUGCAACUUUACGUGAACUGUAAGGCUGCGUUCGUUAGAAAUAAGGACAACUUCCAAAUUUUGUCCGAAUUGAAGGUAAACGAUUGAGUAGUUAUGAACGAAGUUAACCCUUCUAAUCCUAUUAUUGUUGUGGUAUUAGACGGGAAAACAUUCCUUCAUGAGUAAUUAAUUCAUCUUUUUAUCUUUGAAGUUGCUAUCUAUUUCUUCCCGAGUUAUCCUAUCCAAUGUCAAUCCUCUUAACAAUCGCAUCCUAAAUCUCAAUAAUUUACAAGAAGAACCAAGCCAAGAUUGAAUCUUUCAUUCUGUUUAAUAGCAACAACUCAAUAGAAAUUUACAAAAAUUCAUCAGGAAAAAAAAAGUUAAUGGCGAUUUGUUUGCUAAUUUCAACAAAAACAACCCACUGUAUUUGCUAUAAGUAGAACGAAACAGAAAGGUAGCUCAAGCUGGACGGAGAAAAGUGCUGAACUUUUAAGCAAAAUCGAAAUUAAUUAGCAAUACCAAGACCAAAAGAAACAAAGAUCUUACCUCGAAAAAAGGUUAAAGGAAGUGGGGAUUGAACUGCUUUUCUGUUUCCGGUAAUUUAUAAAUAAGUUAAAAGGGAAUCGAUCGAUUUGCAGUGAGUGGGGCUUCUUCUCAGUUCCCAAAUCGACACAAUGAAAUUUAAAAUAAAAAGCUAAAAACUUUGACUGUGAUUAUCUGUCUUUAAUAUAUCCUUGAUGCUCUUUAAGGUCAUAUGUAAUAUCUCAUAUCGACUAACAGAUAGGGGAUAAUAUGACUUAUAUGUACAUGCUCUCUUUUUUAUAGCACGAGGCUUUUUGGGCAUUCACUAGCUUCGGAACUCCGAAGUUAAGCGAGUUCGGGCGAGAGCAAUCCUAUGAUGGGUAACCCAUUGGAAAGUUCUGGUCUGGCUUCUUAGAAACAAAUCCGUGAGGGAAUGGUAAGCCCAAAACGGACAAUAUCGUGCUACGGCGGAGUCGAGACUGGAAUGUGACAGAAUGGUAUCAGAGCCACUCUGCUAUUUGGUGCAGAUGUGCCAGCGAGGACGUCGGGUUCUCCUUAAGUGGGGUGGAUUGUAAGAUCUCACAUCGACCAACGAAGAGGGCGACCCACUGGGAAGUUGCUCUGAGUUCCCAUAAACAAAAUCGUGAAGGCGUGGUCCAAAGCGGACAAUAUCGUAUAACGGUGGAGUUGGGAUUGAGAUGUAUCAGUUUGGUAUCAGAGCCAUUAUGUCGUGUGAUGCGAAUAUGCUAACGAGGACGUUGGACCCCUAAGGGGGGUGGAUUGUAACAUCCUACAUCGACCAACAAAGAGGGGGUGAUGUGCUUUAUAUGUACAUGUCCACCUUUUAUAGAACAGGGUCUUUUGAGAACUUAUUGGCUUCGGGUUCCAUCGGAACUCCGAAGUUAAGCGAGUUCGGGCGAGAGCAAUUCUAGGAUGGGUAACCCACUGAAAAGUUCUCGUGUGAGUUCCCAGAAACAAAACCGUGAGGGUGUGGCCCAAAGUGGACAAUAUCAUGCUACGGCGAAGCAGACUGGGAUGUGACAUAAUGGUAUCAGAUCCACUCUGCUGUUUGGUGCGAAUGUAUCGGCGAGGACGCCGAAUUCCCCUUAAGUGAGGUGGAUAACCCACUGGGAAGUUCUCGUGUGAGUUCCCAGAAACAAAAUCAUGAGAGUGUGGCCCAAAGCGGAUAAUAUCGUGUUACGGCGAAGCCAGACUGGGAUGUGACAUAAUGGUAUCAGAGCCACUCUGCUGUUUGGUGCGAAUGUACCGGCGAGGACGCCGGGUUCCCCUUAAGUAAGGUGGAUUGUAAGAUCCCACAUCAACCAACGGAGAGGAGGGUGAUGUGCCUUAUAUGUACAUGCUCAUCUCCCUAUAGCAUGAGGCAUUUUGGGAACUCAUUGGCUUCGGAUUCUAUCGGAACUCCGAAGUUAAGCGAGUUCAGGCAGCAAUCCUAGGAUGGGUGACCCACUGAGAAGUUCUCGUCGGAGUUCUCAGAAACAAAUCCGUGAGGGAAUGGUAAGCCCAAAGCAGACAAUAUCGUACUACAGCAGAGUCGGAUGUGACAUCAUACCAGUCACAAUCCCACAUGAAUGAAACCAUCUCAGUCCAAUGAGAAUUUUUACAAUGUGCCGAAAACACUGUCCAUUACACAGUGUCUUAAUACAAAUAGUUGGAUAUAUUUUUUCCUUUUUUUCAUUCGGAAUUAACAAUCUAGCCUUGAAACAAGCAUAAAUUGUUUAUAUUCAUCAUCUAGAGUGAACUAAAUGUUGGUUUUUUAACUUUAAUCCGUCAAAAAGAUUGAAAUUUAAAAUAAAUUCGAUUACAUAUUGAUUAUAGUUCCUUGAUAUGUCUUCAAUUCAAGAUAAUUAAUGUGCAUUUUAUUUAAUGUCUCCCAUUAAAUAUUUAAUUUAUUAAUUUUAUUUAACAUUCAUCAAACUUGAAAUACUCAAUUAAUGUACCUAAAUGUUAGUACCGAAAUGUAUUAUAUUGAACUAAUGUAUUUAAAUGUUAUUACCGAAACGGAUUAUAUUGAACUAAUGUAUUUAAAUGUUAGUACCAAAAUAGAUGUACUGAAAUAUAUGCACCGAAAUGUAUUAUAUUAAAUUAAUGUACCUAAAUGCGUGUACCGAAAUGUAUGCACCAAAAUAUUAGUACUGAAAUGUAUUAUAUUGAAUUAAUGUACUUAAAUGUUUGUAUCGAAAUGUAUGUACUAAAAUGUGUGUACCUAAAUGUAUGCAUCAAAUUGUAUUAUAAUGAAUUUAAUGUACCUAAAUGAAGAAGACAAAUUACAUCGAAGGAUAUUGUAUAACAAAAAUUAGUUUAUCUAAAUGUUUACAACAAAAUAUAUUACGAUAAAUGAAAUGAAAAUCUCUACUAAUUAAUGAAACCCUCUUUGUCAAUCAAAAGAGGGUGAAAAGACAAAUUAGUCUUCUAUCACUAAAAAAAAUGAUGGCCAAUAAUGUAAUUUCACAGGUCCAAAUUUUACUGUUUUUUAUUGAAACCUCAUAUGAAGAUGAAGUUAAAAUACCUUCAAUAUUAAAAUAAAUAAAUAAAUAAAUAAAACUAAAAAAUAAAAAAAUCUCUAAAAAUAAACCCCCACGUUCUCUCUCUCUCCCUCUCUCCUUCUCAUUUUAAAAAAAAAUGUGUUCAUACACACAAGUGUAUAGGCAAAUGUUAUUUUAAAAAAAAUAAAAAAUUGUAAAAGUAAUAAUUAUAAAUGUUAUAAUAAAGUUAUUAAAAGGAUAAAAUUACGAAAAAAAAAAAUUAAAAAAUCAAAUUAAUUAAUAAAUGAAGUUAUUAAUGUAUCAAGGGACUAAAAUACUAAUAUUUUGAUCUUACUAAAAAGUUUUAGUAUUAUAAAGUCAUCUUUGCCGAUUAGAAUGAAGUUUUCUAUAAUGUAAUCAAUGUAUCUCAAUACUAAUUUUGUUGAUUUUGUUAUUGUUCGCUUUAAACAUAAAGAAAUAAUUAUAUUUCCAAUGUAUUAUUUUUUUUUCAUCAUGCACAAAGAAUUUUUUAAUUAUAUCCUUCAAUUUAUUAUUAUAUUACAACAUUUGUUCUUUUCAUGCACAAAAGAAUUAAUCAUACCUAUUCUAUCUAGGUUUUAUUUUUUAGUUCACAUACAAAGAAUUCUACCUAUUCUCCUAGAAAUAAGAUUGCAUAAAUCAAAAAUCAAAUAAAAAAAACAAAGAAAUAAAAGCGGAGAGAAAAAAACAUGGUAUUUAUAUUGUAUAAAUUAAACAAUACAAGGACAAAAACAAAGAAAUGACCAUGGCUUCCCUGUCCAUGAAAAUUGUAGAUAAUCGUGGCUUGCCACCGUUGUCCUUCCUUUAAAAAAAAAAACAAAAAAAAAAAAAAACAAAGAAAUAAAAAUAGAAAAAACUCAAAAAAAAAAAAAAAGUAUGAAAAUCACGAUCUAAAUCAAAUGCCUUAUUUUAUAUGAUGCAAAUAUGGGGACUUCACUCUUAUUCUUAUACUUUUCCGCAGAGUUUUAUUUUUAUUAUUAUAUUUAAAAAUUAUGGGUAAAAAAGUUUGUACUCUAUUUUAGUGAGAGCAACAAAAUGAUAAUGUUUAGUCGAUCUGGAUCUUUUGUUUAUUGGGACAGAUCGGCGAUAUCAUUUUUACACAUUUUUUAAGGGAAUUAUUAUUGAUACCUCAAAAUUUUUAUUUUGUAUUUUAAAUAUUUUAUAAUUAGAAAGAAAAAUAUAUUUGUAAGGAUUGUAGAAUAAAAUUUUUUGAGUACUAAACCCUUAAUCUGACGGUGAAGUAAUUUCAUAUUUGAGUGAUUUGUUAAACAUAAUCUUCGAGUGGAGAUAAAAAAGAUAAACUAUUCGGAUCGUUAAAAUACACUAAGAGGUAGUCUCUAUAAAACAUGAGUUAAAAAAAAUAGUUACCGAUCGGCACCUAAUAUUACAACCUUUUUUAAUCUGUUGCCUGCGUAAUUUAAUAUUUACUGAAUCUCUGUGAACCGAUCUCUGGUUUGAACUUUGAUCUGAUGACAAAUUGGAAGUGUUAGACCGGAUAGGGAGUGGAAGAAAAAGAUGAAUUGUGACACGGCGUUCCAAGACAAACGCCUAAUCCUGUCAUUAUUUUCUCAUAAGAUGAUAGACUUGAUAGCGAAGCAAGACUUGCAAGAAAUUAUUUAAUGUCAGUUAUGUAACCUAUAAAUCUUUUUUUUUUCGUAGAUGACGCCGACCAAGUGAGGCCCGAUCAAUAAAAUUGUAGAAUGAGACUCUUUAACGCAUUAGCAACAAAAUUAGGUUUGCAAUAGAUAUAUUAAACAUGUACGAUGCUUAGAUGGAUCAGCAACAAAACUAGCAUGCGUGAUGUAACAUGUUUUGGUUUUUGGUUUUGUCUACUAUGUUGCCAAGAGAGAAAAACAAACAAGAAAGAAAUAAAAUUGAAUGAUAGAUUAAUUAAAGAUGUCAUUAAAAAAUAUUGAAUCAUACAGAUUCAUAAUUAUAAAAGCAUUUAAGAUUUUCAUACGGCAUGUUUUUUAUUUAAUUUUUUGUGUCGGUAAAUUACACGAUUAGACUAAAAAAAGUUGAACUAUCUUUGUAAGUGUUACCUACCCCUAAAAAUAUAAACUAUCGUAAAGAAACUGUUAGCUGAUUCUUUUUAACCUAAAAAAGUUAUGUGAUAAUCAUAACCAAAUAAUGUGACACAUUUUAUUAAACCAUUAACGUCAAUUUCACAUGCAAUAAAGAAUUGGAAGUCUAAUAUUUUGAGCUAAAUAGGUGUCAGAAAGAGUCAAAAAUACCUUCCUCGAAUGAGCUGCCCUCAUGUGUAAUUUUAUUUUUUUAUUUUUUAUUUUGAAGUCCUCAUGUGUAGGUUUUUCUCAACUUAUAGCCCAUAUUAAUUAUUAAAAAAAUGUCAAGGACGGUUUGCUGAAAUUUGUAUUUGUACUAAACACUUCUACCUAUAAGCACUUACAUUAUUUAAAAGUACUUUCAUUAGAAGCGUGUAAGAAAUUUUAAUUAAAAUGAGGCACUAGUUGGUAAUGAACUCUAACCUCCAAAAAGUGUUUUUAUAAUCCAUAAUUAGUUUUAAUGCGUGCUUAGUAUUUCUUCUAAAACGGCUAAAAAUGCUAUCUAAUAAUCAAAAUGUUUUUUUUUUACUACAUUUAACAAAUAAAAUUAAAAGCACGUUUAUGUUGAAAAAAAACGCGUUUAAAAAAAUCAACAAAAAUGUGUUUCCAACCGAGGCAGUUCCAAACAAACCCUCAAUUAUUUCUAAGCACUACAAAAACCUAUUGGUGUGCAAUUAGCCACACUGCAAUAUGCACCUCGAUCCAGCUGAUGGUGAUGAGGUUUGGAGUUGGAGCCAUGAACUUUUUUCCACAUGACAUGCUGCCCUAAUGCUUUCCUUCUUGUUUUAUCAUGUCUCCUGGUUUGUUGGUCACAGCCUGUUCCCAGUUUGCAUUUCUGCCCUGUUUUGGGCAAGUGGGUAGGACAGACACUUUUGAGCUUUUUUUAACUAACAAAAAAAAGGACGGUGACUUCGCCAUGACAUUCUACCUUUUUCAGAAGCUGGAAAAACUUACAUAGACAUUUCAACCUCCUAUAACCAUCAUCGUAUGAUUCACCAGAUUCAAUAAUUGAACUCAGGAUGUGCCGUGUAGAAUACAGAUCAAGAAGUCUCAACCACUAGACCACCCCGUGAUGGUUGACAGAGACUUGAGCUUUGGCCAUUACCUGACAUUUUUAAUUUUAUGCUUAUCCUUUUAAUCCUUCAUAACAAUUAUUGGCGCCGUAUUGAUUGGUUGCACAUCCAUUACCCUACAAUGUUAGACCAGUGAAGCUCUUGCCCUACAUAUUUAAGGCACUUCAUGCUCUCCAUUCCAUCUCCAUUCACUCCAAGUUUGAACCUGGUUUCGGGCAUGAACCCGAUUUUGGUUUUCGAAUUCACAACUGGUUUAGGGCAAAGAAAUCGACUUUCGAAUAUAUAAUGCAUUAUACUUCCAAUAAGGCCCAGAAAGUAUGAGCUUUCUGGGCAUUUUCCUAUAGAAUGCGAUAUGCAUCUUCGAGUACAAAUCCUACCAAGAUAAAAUGCAUUACACAAAUGACGUAAUUCGACCUUUAUAUUACACAUUGAACAAAAAAUAAUUCACAGCACAUCAUCUUUAUAAGUGAAUUCUAUCCUCUGUAUAACAUCAAAGUAAAAAAAAUGCUCUAAAGAAUGCUCUUUGAGUACUAACACUAACAAUUCUACAAUCUAUUCUCUCUGAAUUAUGUUUUUCGUUCGUAAGAAACUCUCACCUCUGCAUCCAUUCAUUCGUCAACAACGUGAUCCCCUACCUGUACACAUCAGAAAAGCCAUGUUGAACCAUUGCUAUGUCAUCUAACUCCGGGUUGUAGAAUCGGAAAGAAAGUCCAGUCAUUGCAAGGCUUAGAUUCCUUAGCAGCAACAUUUUUGUUAGCCCACCAUUCUGAGCCGAUGUUGGACUUACUCGGAACUUCAGCUUUUGUGUAAUCAAAAUUAAACUCCUUUGUCGACCCAAGUGUGAUGGAUCUUUGCUUCCGGUAACCUUGAUCCUCCCCUUCUCCUGAAGCAUUUUCAGGAAUUCUACUCAAACUUUCCUCAACAUUAAACACUCGGUGAUUGUUGGAGUCUGUUAAUAACACAUCUGUUUCGAUUGAGUUUUCUGCUGCUAUAUCAUUGGAAUAUUCCGUUGCAGUUCUUAAUGCUUUAUUCGCAAGACAGCAUGCAACAUCUUCACCAGUCAAUUCAAAUGACACCCUGUGAUCAAAUAUUAUAGUUCCACCAUUUUGACAUCCACUCUCUGUGUUGGCCAGGGAUGCCACCUCAGAAAUCUGGUUCUCCAUAUGGAAACCGUCUCUCGAUGCUGGUCCAGUACCAUCAGGCGUCAAACAUCCAGAACCCAUCCCUGAACCAACUCCCACACCGUUGGGGGUCAAACAUCCGGAACCUAGCCUUGAACCUAGCUCAUAGCCAUCUGGUGUUAAUGUUCCAGAACCUAGCCUGGAACCCAGCCCCGCACCAUCUGGUGUCAAAGAUCCAGAACCUAGCCUUGAACCCCACUUAUGAUUGGUAAAAUGCUCAAAUCCAUAGAGUUUGGGACCUUCCCCCAUGCGAAACUCAAGCAUAGGGUGUCUGUCUGGGAACGGAGAAGAUGUUCCUGAAUUCGAUAUUGCUGAUCCUGGUGAUAUGAGAUUACCACCUGGACUUCCCGGAUAUUGUUGGUAAGGCUGGUAUUCGUAUUGGGACAGUGGAAACUUCUGGUUGUUAAUACUAUUUCUACGUUGUCGGUCCAAUGAAGAUGACAGAAGUUGAGCAAAUGGCACUUCAGGGGAUGAAGGUGUAGUCAGCUGAACGGAUUCGGGAGGGGGAGUGAAUGGAGCAGUAGAUGGUUCAGUGUUGAAUGUAGAGAAUACAGGUGGUGACACUAACUGUGUCUCAUAUGCAUAAGGGCCUAUGGAAAACAUGGAUGCAGGUUCACCCGAAGAGUAGGCAUUGGCAGAAAGGGAUGUGAGGGACAGAAAUCCAGCAGGUGAUUGGGAAGCAGACGGUGGAUCGGAUGGAAGGAAAGAUGCAGGAGAAGAUGGAGGGGCAAUGAAGGGUAAUACAAUUGCGGCGGAGGUUGUUUGGUUAUUAGAGGUUGAAACUGCAGCUCCUGGCACUACAGGCUCGGGAAUGAGGACAGCAUGACCAAUUCGCUUGCUAGUUUUAUGUGAGCCGAAGCACCAAUAUUGGCUCCAGCAGCUUCCCCAUCUUCUUUUCUGUAGUCAAAUGGUAAAAGAUUGUCAACGACACAGUUUCAAAAUUUAACACCAAAAAAAUGCACGAAAGACACCAGAAGAACCAACUCUUCAAAAUUUAUCACCGCACAGAUUUGAGUUCACUCUUGACCCACAAACGAAUACACGAGUAUUUCAUGUAAAAGUUACUUAUACACCAUUCUAUAUCACAUAGCAAAUAACACAAAGAUGGCAACUGAAAUUGAAUUUUACAGUUUUUGGGUUUAUAGCUAUUCCGGUUCCUCCAUAGCAAUGGCAACAAGAAAGAAGAGCUGUUAGAAUGGGAAGUAGGUACUCUUCCCGGCUGGAUUUCUCCGCCGAAACUCCAGAAUCUCUAAACUACGAAAUGUUCACCAGAUACCUUACAGAAAAUUCUGAAACUCUGCUAGGUGCUACCUAGCAAAAUCUGGAAUUCCAGAGUUAUCUACCACAUCAAAACAUACCUACCAAAAAUACUAGCAGUUGAAAUAAAAUGAAGUCACCAUAGCAAUACAAACACAAGAAAGUCUCCAUUAAAAUAAAUUCUUACAUUUUUAUACUAAUUAAUCAGUCAUUAAAUUGUCCGAGUUCAAUCAAAUUUCUCAACUUUUUCCUCUAAUGUUUUCAUUGAUUUGAGAAACAAAGCAAGUCAUGACACACACACACACACAGAUGUGUGACAAUUCCAAGGAUUAUUUGCAAUACAAAAACACUCAAAGAUUAAUACUUUUCACUUUUGAGGAUUGAAAAUAAGUAAAAGAACGCAAGAUCCAACUGGCCAUAACUGCGUUUUUAGAUUCCCACAGUUUCUCAGCAACCAAACAGAGUAUAACAAGGACCCAAAAGUCACAACAAAUUAACAAAUUGGGAGAAGAGAAAAACACACAUGCAUAAAGAUAU
RNAcentral lists this long non-coding RNA (33183 nucleotides) under Malus domestica (apple). The record is from RNAcentral. Lineage: Eukaryota; Viridiplantae; Streptophyta; Magnoliopsida; Rosales; Rosaceae.